AUGACGGUCUCUUUGCCGCCGGUCGUCAUUCGGCCUCCCAAGGAGGCUAAGGAGGAGCGAUCAUGGACCGCGCCAGCGUCGGGACACACUAAGCUGAAUACCGAUGGCAGUUUCAUUGCGGCGACAGGAGCGACAGGAGGAGGGAUGAUUUUGCGUGAUGAUCGAGGAGAAAUCAUCUAUACUGCGUGUAGAGAGCUGCGCACAUGCGAUAAAGCACUGGGAGCAGAACUUGCAGCCUGCAAGGAGGGCCUUGAGCUAGCCCUAAACAGGACCGGAUUGCCUAUCACGGUCGAGCUUGAUUGCGCGGAGGCUGUGGCGUUGAUCACAGCAGAUGUGGAGGAUCGUUCGGUGCACCGUGCCCUCAUUCAGGAGAUCCGAGAUAUAGCGCCUGCCGCUGGAAGGGAGAUCUCAUUUACUCUUUGUUGCCGGUCACAAAAUAAAUGUAGCCAUGAACUUGCCUCUUACGGGCGACGAACCCCCCGAACUGCUGUGUGGUUCUACUCGGGGAUUGACCCUGUUGUACGUCUGGCCUCUGCUGAGAGACCACCUUGA
This 552-nucleotide ribosomal RNA is filed under the name Triticum aestivum (bread wheat). RNAcentral describes it as "partial small subunit ribosomal RNA". Lineage: Eukaryota; Viridiplantae; Streptophyta; Magnoliopsida; Poales; Poaceae. The record is from RNAcentral.